AUUGAACGCUGGCGGCAGGCUUAACGCAUGCAAGUCGGGCGGGGGAAGGUAGCUUGCUACCGGACCUAGCGGCGGACGGGUGAGUAAUGCUUAGGAAUCUGCCUAUUAGUGGGGGACAACAUCUCGAAAGGGAUGCUAAUACCGCAUACGUCCUACGGGAGAAAGCAGGGGGUCUUCGGACCUUGCGCUAAUAGAUGAGCCUAAGUCGGAUUAGCUAGUUGGUGGGGUAAAGGCCUACCAAGGCGACGAUCUGUAGCGGGUCUGAGAGGAUGAUCCGCCACACUGGGACUGAGACACGGCCCAGACUCCUACGGGAGGCAGCAGUGGGGAAUAUUGGACAAUGGGGGGAACCCUGAUCCAGCCAUGCCGCGUGUGUGAAGAAGGCCUUAUGGUUGUAAAGCACUUUAAGCGAGGAGGAGGCUACUUUAGUUAAUACCUAAAGAUAGUGGACGUUACUCGCAGAAUAAGCACCGGCUAACUCUGUGCCAGCCGCCGCCGUAA
Molecule: ribosomal RNA, 501 nt
Filed under: uncultured bacterium
Lineage: Bacteria
Description: partial 16S ribosomal RNA
Rfam family: Bacterial small subunit ribosomal RNA
Source: RNAcentral